GACGAACGCUGGCGGCGUGCCUAAUACAUGCAAGUCGAACGCACUCUCGUUUAGAUUGAAGGAGUUUGCUCCUGAUUGAUAAACAUUUGAGUGAGUGGCGGACGGGUGAGUAACACGUGGGUAACCUGCCCUAAAGUGGGGGAUAACAUUAGGAAACAGAUGCUAAUACCGCAUAAAAACUAACACCGCAUGGCGUAGGGUUGAACGAUGGUUUCGGCUAUCACUUUAGGAUGGCCCCGCGGUGCAUUAGUUAGUUGGUGAGGUAAAGGCUCACCAAGACCGUGAUGCAUAGCCGACCUGAGAGAGUCAUCGGCCACACUGGGACUGAGACACGGCCCAGACUCCUACGGGAGGCAGCAGUAGGGAAUCUUCCACAAUGGACGAAAGUCUGAUGGAGCAACGCCGCGUGAGUGAAGAAGGUUUUCGGAUCGUAAAACUCUGUUGUUGGAGAAGAAUGUAUCUGAUAGUAACUGAUCAGGUAGUGACGGUAUCCAACCAGAAAGCCACGGCUAACUACGUG
This 520-nucleotide ribosomal RNA is filed under the name uncultured bacterium. RNAcentral's name for it is "partial 16S ribosomal RNA". It matches the Rfam family "Bacterial small subunit ribosomal RNA", at positions 28 to 507 of the family's 1533-position model. The record is from RNAcentral.